CCUACGGGGGGCAGCAGUAGGGAAUUUUCGGCAAUGGGGGGAACCCUGACCGAGCAACGCCGCGUGAACGAAGAAGUUAUUCGUAAUGUAAAGUUCUUUUAACAGGGAAGAAAGAGAAAUUUGACGGUACCUGUAGAAUAAGCCCCGGCUAACUACGUGCCAGCAGCCGCGGUAAUACGUAGGGAGCGAGCGUUAUCCGGAAUUAUUGGCCGUAAAGGGUGCGUAGAUGGCAUAGUAAGGCUUUGGUAAAAAGGCUGGGGUCAACCGAGUAGGGCAAAAGAUACUGGAAAGCUAGAGUAUGACAGAGGCAAGUGGAACUACAUGUGUAGCGGUAAAAUGCGUAGAUAUAUGUAAGAACACCAGUGGCGAAGGCGGCUUGCUGGGUCGAUACUGACAUUGAGGCACGAAAGCGUGGGGAGCAAACAGGAUUAGAUACCCGAGUAGUC
Molecule: ribosomal RNA, 446 nt
Filed under: uncultured bacterium
Lineage: Bacteria
Description: partial 16S ribosomal RNA
Rfam family: Bacterial small subunit ribosomal RNA
Source: RNAcentral